Drosophila navojoa is the source of this 744-nucleotide long non-coding RNA. The record is from RefSeq and is a predicted model, not a curated record. NCBI's taxonomy places the organism in Eukaryota, Metazoa, Arthropoda, Insecta, Diptera, Drosophilidae.
UUCCUGGAGCAGACAGGCAAUUUUAGUGCCUUCCAUUGGAAUGUUGAGCCAAAUGUGACAUAUUUACAGUUACUUCUUCGAUAUACAUAUGCUGGGCAGCUGUGGGCACACGCUCUUUUGCUGAUCUCCGCUAUCGCACUUUCCAGUUUCCAGUCCUCAAAUGAGUGAGUGUGUGUGUGGGUAUGUGCAUGUGAGUGCGUGUGUGUAUGUGUGUGUGUUUCUUCUUGUAUUGUAUUCGCUGCCUUCCUUGUUGUGUGACUACGUUCAACGACUUCUUCAGCUGGGUAUUUUAUUUUGAUUAGAGAUUUCGUUUCGCUUAAGCUUAGUCGCGCUCAUCGAGCUCCCCCAUCGAAAGGCAAACUAGAAAAGUGUUCAGUGUGCGGUGCUAAAUCAAAAGACUUGCUAUAUAAAUACAUUUGUUCCAUAUACAUAUGUACACAUGUACAUAUAAAUCAAUGUAAAAUAUAGUUCAGGGCUUCGGCUAAUUAGACCAACGAACGAGCGUCUCGACUUAAUGCUCUCUCAGCAGCAUGACACAAAGAAACCAAUUGAAUACAAAACUGCAAUAAGCUGAUUACUACCAACAACUAAUAUAACUGACCCAAUUUGGGUUCGCCGUGUGUUGCCAGCUGAUAUAGACAGAUUUUUUUAGGCUGAAUUUCCGCAUUAUCUGAAAUUCCUCCUGCGAUGAGAACAUAACACAAUUCAAUCUAGCGUUGUCAGUGCAAGUGCAAAAAUUAUAUA